Papaver somniferum (opium poppy) is the source of this 662-nucleotide long non-coding RNA. RefSeq lists it as uncharacterized. Lineage: Eukaryota; Viridiplantae; Streptophyta; Magnoliopsida; Ranunculales; Papaveraceae. The transcript has 2 exons. The record is from RefSeq and is a predicted model, not a curated record.
UAUUUUAUCUGAGAGUUUGCUUGAGAUUGCUGCCAGUAAGAACUAGAAGCUCUACUUUAGGAACGUCGGGCCUAAGUGGCACCCCACCACCUCGGUGGCUACCCGGAAGAUCGUUGCGGCAACGAUGGCUGGUCACCAGAACUACCCUGACGGCGACACUGGCCAUGAAUAGUAGAAGUACGAAGAAAAGUUGUGGCAGUAAGCCGGGAGAGCUUACGGAAGCAUUAGCGCUAUGAAAGUUGGUAUUCUCAUACUUUCUGAUGUGUAUAUCACGGGGUACCUGGGAGUUUAGUUUGUUUGCAUUGAUCCCAUAUCAUUUUGUAUAUUUUGCUGUUAUCAUUGGGAUUUUGGACAUGAUCUCAAUAUGGUCUGUAACAAAAAAAAACUUGUCUGUUUCGUAUACAAUGGUUUUGGUCUUGGGUAUUAAGUGCUUGUCUAAUUUUGUUAAAACUCUUGAACUUGAUUAAUUUUGCUGCUUAUAGUUUAGUUUACUGUAUUUUAUGUACAAUAUGUCUUUUACCUUGACAUGAAUUUACUAAGUUAUCAAGGGUGUUAGCCUAAGUUUUUAAUUUCCAGUAUCUACAAGUCAUUUGUUUGGAACUUCAUAGAUGACAACAAACUUUGUUUUCAUGGUUUACCACUUAAAGGGAAUUCUUCUUGUA